Molecule: ribosomal RNA, 402 nt
Filed under: uncultured Debaryomyces
Lineage: Eukaryota; Fungi; Ascomycota; Saccharomycetes; Saccharomycetales; Saccharomycetaceae
Description: SSU rRNA
Rfam family: Eukaryotic small subunit ribosomal RNA
Source: RNAcentral
UGCAAGUCUGGUGCCAGCAGCCGCGGUAAUUCCAGCUCCAAUAGCGUAUAUUAAAGUUGUUGCAGUUAAAAAGCUCGUAGUUGAACCUUGGGCUUGGUUGGCCGGUCCGCCUUUUUGGCGAGUACUGGACCCAACCGAGCCUUUCCUUCUGGCUAACCUUUCGCCCUUGUGGUGUUUGGCGAACCAGGACUUUUACUUUGAAAAAAUUAGAGUGUUCAAAGCAGGCCUUUGCUCGAAUAUAUUAGCAUGGAAUAAUAGAAUAGGACGUUAUGGUUCUAUUUUGUUGGCUUCUAGGACCAUCGUAAUGAUUAAUAGGGACGGUCGGGGGCAUCAGUAUUCAGUUGUCAGAGGUGAAAUUCUUGGAUUACCUGAAGACUAACUACUGCGAAAGCAUUUGCCAAA